CUCAAAUCUGCUAAAAUAAAAAUACUACUUUCAAUAAGAACUAAAUUCAGAAAGCUGUUUAAGCCCUUGCUUAGCUCUGGCACAUGCUUACCAUUUGUUGCACGGGUACUUAAUUCACUCUCACUUAAUGUGUCAUUCUGGAAUAGAGACAUUUCUCAGAUUCGAAGUUGAACUACUGCGAAGUUUAGCCUCUGAGGUGAAUGUUUUGGAAGGUUAAUAGCCUGUGGAAAUAGAGGAGCCCUAUGUUAUGUUUAGUACUCACUUUGGCUGAAAGAUGAAAUAGACUCUCUUCACCCAGCCGCUAAAAUGCAGCCACCUGUGGGGAGUAAUGUGCCAGCUCUUUAGUGCAACAGUGCAAAACCAUUUAAGAGAGAAGUGAAGCGUUAUGCCUCAGUCCAAAGGGAGUGUUUGCCAUUGUUGUUACUGAACAGCACGACAUUUUUUUUCUGGGUGGAAGGCACUGUCUGUGUAAUGCUGUAUUUCAAAAGGAUUUGGGUUUGGAUACACAGGAAAUGGGAUCGUGUCAUCAGUUAAUCAAUAACUCAGCGUGAUGGACUGGUCUCCCUACUUAGCACUGGAAGAAACCAGCAGAGGCAAGAACACGGACACAGUGAAUGUUACUUAAUGCCUAGAUCUGAAGAACAAAGCAGCUAGGUACACACCUCAGAUACACUGCAUUUAUGCUUGGCACACUGGAGAGCAGAGGCAAAGUUUGUGCUAGGCUCCCUCAUCCCAGAGCUGGCAUAUGAAUGGACCAGUCCCAGGCAUGCUAUUGUGCAGUCACAGGCAACUGCAAAGGCACCCUCUGGUUCAUGAAGGAUGGACCUACAUAGGAAGCACUGCUGGGCGCACACUUUCCCUGUUGGGGCUAGCCACUGGAAGUCUGAAGAUCACUUCUUAGAUAGGACUUGCUAAUUAAAAUAAAUUUUAAUUGAGUCAAAUUCUCUGAUUAUUU
RNAcentral lists this long non-coding RNA (955 nucleotides) under Anas platyrhynchos platyrhynchos (common mallard). Its description in RNAcentral is "lncRNA (ENSAPLG00000017867.1)". The record is from RNAcentral. Lineage: Eukaryota; Metazoa; Chordata; Aves; Anseriformes; Anatidae.